This 26-nucleotide non-coding RNA is filed under the name Homo sapiens (human). Lineage: Eukaryota; Metazoa; Chordata; Mammalia; Primates; Hominidae. The record is from RNAcentral.
UUACAGAGAAACGCCACACCCUGAGA